CCUACGGGAGGCAGCAGUGGGGAAUAUUGCACAAUGGGGGAAACCCUGAUGCAGCAACGCCGCGUGAGUGAGGAAGUAUUUCGGUAUGUAAAGCUCUAUCAGCAGGGAAUAGAAAAGAAGGUACCUGAAAAAGAAGCCCCGGCUAACUACGUGCCAGCAGCCGCGGUAAUACGGAGGGGGCAAGCGUUAUCCGGAUUUACUGGGUGGAAAGGGAGCGUAGACGGAAAGGCAAGUCAGAAGUGAAAGCCUAAGGCUCAACCAUGGGACUGCUUUUGAAACUGUCAAACUAGAGUACGGGAGAGGUAAGAGGAAUUCCUAGUGUAGCGGUGAAAUGCGUAGAUAUUAGGAGGAACACCAGUGGCGAAGGCGUCUUACUGGACCGAAACUGACGUUGAGGCUCGAAAGCGUGGGGAGCAAACAGGAUUAGAUACCCCUGUAGUC
Molecule: ribosomal RNA, 441 nt
Filed under: uncultured bacterium
Lineage: Bacteria
Description: partial 16S ribosomal RNA
Rfam family: Bacterial small subunit ribosomal RNA
Source: RNAcentral